RNAcentral lists this ribosomal RNA (451 nucleotides) under uncultured bacterium. RNAcentral describes it as "partial 16S ribosomal RNA". It matches the Rfam family "Bacterial small subunit ribosomal RNA", at positions 28 to 507 of the family's 1533-position model. The record is from RNAcentral.
GAUGAACGCUGGCGGCGUGCCUAACACAUGCAAGUCGAGCGGCAGCGAGGGGUGCUUGCACCCUGUCGGCGAGCGGCGGACGGCUGAGUAACGCGUGGGAACGUGCCCCAAAGUGAGGAAUAACUGCCCGAAAGGGUAGCUAAUACCGCAUAUUAUCUUCGGAUCAAAGGAUUUAUCGGCUUUGGGAGCGGCUCGCGUCGGAUUAGGUAGUUGGUGAGGUAAUGGCUCACCAAGCCGACGAUCCGUAGCUGGUCUGAGAGGAUGACCAGCCAGACUGGAACUGAGACACGGUCCAGACUCCUACGGGAGGCAGCAGUGAGGAAUCUUCCACAAUGGGCGAAAGCCUGAUGGAGCAACGCCGCGUGCAGGACGAAGGCCUUCGGGUUGUAAACUGCUUUUAUAAGUGAGGAAUAUGACGGUAACUUAUGAAUAAGGAUCGGCUAACUACGUG